AUGAGGGCUGCCGCCAUUGUUGUACUGGUAAGAAGGAGAUGAGUUUGGGUAGUUGUACUGAUUUGGGUGGUUCACUUGCUGAAAGGAAGGAGGAGGCUGAGGGUGCCCUCCAGUGGGGGCGUUGCUGUAGCUGUUGGACUGGUAGGAAGGUGGGGAAUUAGGGUUCUGAGGGGCAAAACUGGUGAAGUUGGUGUAAGAGGGGGAGUGGGCUGUGCCAGGUGUUGCACUGCUGUAGCCGUUGGAUUGGUAGGGAGGUGGGGGAUUAGGGUUUUCAGAGCCGAAACCGGUGAAGUUGGAAGAUGGGUUUGUGCCAAAUGUUGCACUGUUGUAGCCACUGGACUGGUAGGAAGGAGGGGGAUUAGGGUUCUGAGAGGCAAAACCGGGGUUGGUGUAAGAGGGGGAAUGGUGGGUUGUGCCAGGAGUCGCACUGUUGUAGCCGCUGGACUGGUAGGGAGGUGGGGGAUUAGGAUUUCCAGAGCUGAAACCGGUGAAGCUGGAAGAUGGGUUUGCGCCAGCUGCUCCACUGUUGUAGCCAUUUGAUUGGUAGGAAAGCGGGGAAUCAGGGCUGUGAGAGCCAAAGCUGGUGAAGCUGGUGUUAGGGGGGGACUGGGUAGCGCCAGGUGUAGCGUUGCUGUAGCCAUUGGAUUGCGAUGAAGGUGGGGAAUUAGGGUUUUCAGAGCCGAAGCUCGUGAAGUUGGUGUAUGGUGGGGGCUGUGGGUUCCCAGGAAUGCUUCCAGCGGCUGAG
This 745-nucleotide long non-coding RNA is filed under the name Spirodela polyrhiza (greater duckweed). RNAcentral describes it as "long non-coding RNA (SPOL_LNC002010)". The record is from RNAcentral. Lineage: Eukaryota; Viridiplantae; Streptophyta; Magnoliopsida; Alismatales; Araceae.